GACUCUGUAGUGAAGUUCAUGUUGAGUUGCAAGCUCAUUGAUAUGUGCUCAGAGCACAUCAGAGUCU
RNAcentral lists this transfer RNA (67 nucleotides) under Orthopsittaca manilatus (Red-bellied macaw). RNAcentral's name for it is "tRNA-Cys". The record is from RNAcentral. Lineage: Eukaryota; Metazoa; Chordata; Aves; Psittaciformes; Psittacidae.